This 344-nucleotide long non-coding RNA is filed under the name Arachis ipaensis. Its description in RNAcentral is "long non-coding RNA (AIPA_LNC001090)". The record is from RNAcentral. Lineage: Eukaryota; Viridiplantae; Streptophyta; Magnoliopsida; Fabales; Fabaceae.
AGCCACCAAAUGAAAUUGAUUUGCUUUUACAGUGAGAUCAGAACUAAGUUAUAUAACUAGCAAUUCCUUGUUAUUUCCAUGAUGGAAGUUCAACUUUCCAAAAUCUAACAUAAGAUCAAACCUUAAUAUUCUCUAUUUAAAGAAAGAUAGUUCACAUAAUAAGCACAACAUUACUGAUCAAAUGUUCACUACACUAACAGAAGCUUUGGGUCAGCCCAGUAUGUAAUUCGCCAUCACUCCUCGCAGCAGCUUCAACGCUUUUUUUCUUCCCUCUUUAAGAGAUGAUUUAAAUGUUAAUACUUAACAGUUAGAAGAACUAGAAGCUUUUAUUCCUUCAGAUGCUG